UUAAGCGACUAAGCGUACACGGUGGAUGCCCUGGCAGUCAGAGGCGAUGAAGGACGUGCUAAUCUGCGAAAAGCGUCGGUAAGGUGAUAUGAACCGUUAUAACCGGCGAUGUCCGAAUGGGGAAACCCAGUGCAAUUCGUUGCACUAUCGUUAACUGAAUACAUAGGUUAACGAGGCGAACCGGGGGAACUGAAACAUCUAAGUACCCCGAGGAAAAGAAAUCAACCGAGAUUCCCCCAGUAGCGGCGAGCGAACGGGGAGCAGCCCAGAGUCUGAAUCAGCUUGUGUGUUAGUGGAACGGUCUGGAAAGUCCGACGGUACAGGGUGAUAGUCCCGUACACCAAAAUGCACAGGCUGUGAACUCGAAGAGUAGGGCGGGACACGUGGUAUCCUGUCUGAAUAUGGGGGGACCAUCCUCCAAGGCUAAAUACUCCUGACUGACCGAUAGUGAACCAGUACCGUGAGGGAAAGGCGAAAAGAACCCCGGCGAGGGGAGUGAAAAAGAACCUGAAACCGUGUACGUACAAGCAGUGGGAGCACCUUCGGGUGUGACUGCGUACCUUUUGUAUAAUGGGUCAGCGACUUAUAUUCUGUAGCAAGGUUAACCGUAUAGGGGAGCCGCAGGGAAACCGAGUCUUAACUGGGCGUUAAGUUGCAGGGUAUAGACCCGAAACCCGGUGAUCUAGCCAUGGGCAGGUUGAAGGUUGGGUAACACUAACUGGAGGACCGAACCGACUAAUGUUGAAAAAUUAGCGGAUGACUUGUGGCUGGGGGUGAAAGGCCAAUCAAACCGGGAGAUAGCUGGUUCUCCCCGAAAGCUAUUUAGGUAGCGCCUCGUGAAUUCAUCUUCGGGGGUAGAGCACUGUUUCGGCUAGGGGGUCAUCCCGACUUACCAACCCGAUGCAAACUACGAAUACCGAAGAAUGUUAUCACGGGAGACACACGGCGGGUGCUAACGUCCGUCGUGAAGAGGGAAACAACCCAGACCGCCAGCUAAGGUCCCAAAGUCAUGGUUAAGUGGGAAACGAUGUGGGAAGGCACAGACAGCCAGGAUGUUGGCUUAGAAGCAGCCAUCAUUUAAAGAAAGCGUAAUAGCUCACUGGUCGAGUCGGCCUGCGCGGAAGAUGUAACGGGGCUAAACCAUGCACCGAAGCUGCGGCAGCGACACUAUGUGUUGUUGGGUAGGGGAGCGUUCUGUAAGCCUGCGAAGGUGACCUGUGAGGGUUGCUGGAGGUAUCAGAAGUGCGAAUGCUGACAUAAGUAACGAUAAAGCGGGUGAAAAGCCCGCUCGCCGGAAGACCAAGGGUUCCUGUCCAACGUUAAUCGGGGCAGGGUGAGUCGACCCCUAAGGCGAGGCCGAAAGGCGUAGUCGAUGGGAAACAGGUUAAUAUUCCUGUACUUGGUGUUACUGCGAAGGGGGGACGGAGAAGGCUAUGUUAGCCGGGCGACGGUUGUCCCGGUUUAAGCAUGUAGGCUGGUUGUCCAGGCAAAUCCGGAUAAUCAAGGCUGAGGUGUGAUGACGAGGCACUACGGUGCUGAAGUAACAAAUGCCCUGCUUCCAGGAAAAGCCUCUAAGCAUCAGGUAACAUUAAAUCGUACCCCAAACCGACACAGGUGGUCAGGUAGAGAAUACCAAGGCGCUUGAGAGAACUCGGGUGAAGGAACUAGGCAAAAUGGUGCCGUAACUUCGGGAGAAGGCACGCUGGUGUGUAGGUGAAGCCCCUGCGGGUGGAGCUGAGACCAGUCGAAGAUACCAGCUGGCUGCAACUGUUUAUUAAAAACACAGCACUGUGCAAACACGAAAGUGGACGUAUACGGUGUGACGCCUGCCCGGUGCCGGAAGGUUAAUUGAUGGGGUUAUCCGUAAGGAGAAGCUCUUGAUCGAAGCCCCGGUAAACGGCGGCCGUAACUAUAACGGUCCUAAGGUAGCGAAAUUCCUUGUCGGGUAAGUUCCGACCUGCACGAAUGGCGUAAUGAUGGCCAGGCUGUCUCCACCCGAGACUCAGUGAAAUUGAACUCGCUGUGAAGAUGCAGUGUACCCGCGGCAAGACGGAAAGACCCCGUGAACCUUUACUAUAGCUUGACACUGAACAUUGAGCCUUGAUGUGUAGGAUAGGUGGGAGGCUUUGAAGCGUGGACGCCAGUCUGCGUGGAGCCAACCUUGAAAUACCACCCUUUAAUGUUUGAUGUUCUAACGUUGGCCCCUGACCGGGGUUGCGGACAGUGUCUGGUGGGUAGUUUGACUGGGGCGGUCUCCUCCCAAAGCGUAACGGAGGAGCACGAAGGUUAGCUAAUCCUGGUCGGACAUCAGGAGGUUAGUGCAAUGGCAUAAGCUAGCUUGACUGCGAGCGUGACGGCGCGAGCAGGUGCGAAAGCAGGUCAUAGUGAUCCGGUGGUUCUGAAUGGAAGGGCCAUCGCUCAACGGAUAAAAGGUACUCCGGGGAUAACAGGCUGAUACCGCCCAAGAGUUCAUAUCGACGGCGGUGUUUGGCACCUCGAUGUCGGCUCAUCACAUCCUGGGGCUGAAGUAGGUCCCAAGGGUAUGGCUGUUCGCCAUUUAAAGUGGUACGCGAGCUGGGUUUAGAACGUCGUGAGACAGUUCGGUCCCUAUCUGCCGUGGGCGCUGGAGAAUUGAGGGGGGCUGCUCCUAGUACGAGAGGACCGGAGUGGACGCAUCACUGGUGUUCGGGUUGUCAUGCCAAUGGCACUGCCCGGUAGCUAAAUGCGGAAGAGAUAAGUGCUGAAAGCAUCUAAGCACGAAACUUGCCCCGAGAUGAGUUCUCCCUGAGACUUUAAGUCUCCUGAAGGAACGUUGAAGACGACGACGUUGAUAGGCCGGGUGUGUAAGCGCAGCGAUGCGUUGAGCUAACCGGUACUAAUGAACCGUGAGGCUUAACCU
This 2899-nucleotide ribosomal RNA is filed under the name Klebsiella pneumoniae. RNAcentral's name for it is "23S ribosomal RNA". It matches the Rfam family "Bacterial large subunit ribosomal RNA". Lineage: Bacteria; Pseudomonadati; Pseudomonadota; Gammaproteobacteria; Enterobacterales; Enterobacteriaceae. The record is from RNAcentral.